UGGCUCAGUUGGUAGAGCAUGGUGUUUGUAAUGCUAGGGUUGUGGGUUAGAUUCCCAC
RNAcentral lists this transfer RNA (58 nucleotides) under Salmo salar (Atlantic salmon). It matches the Rfam family "tRNA", at positions 8 to 63 of the family's 71-position model. From Rfam's summary of the family: Transfer RNA (tRNA) molecules are approximately 80 nucleotides in length. The record is from Rfam by way of RNAcentral. Lineage: Eukaryota; Metazoa; Chordata; Actinopteri; Salmoniformes; Salmonidae.